RNA transcript from Prunus persica (peach), 1958 nucleotides. It is a transcript of the gene named pyruvate kinase 1, cytosolic, with no coding region annotated. The transcript is spliced from 15 exons. Lineage: Eukaryota; Viridiplantae; Streptophyta; Magnoliopsida; Rosales; Rosaceae. The record is from RefSeq and is a predicted model, not a curated record.
ACAUUCACAACAGUGGCCUUGCAGUUGCUGUUCUUCUUCUUCUUCUACAUCUUCUUCUUCUUCUUCUUCUUCUUCGUCGGAGAAAAUGCAUUCGAAUCACUUGCUUCUGGAGGAGCCUAUCAGAAUGGCCUCAAUUCUCGAGUCUUCUAAGUCUACAUUCUUUCCUGCAAUGUCAAGGAUUGUUGGAACACUUGGUAUAAAUUCACAAUCCGUUGAGACAAUAUCUGCGUGCUUGAAGGCAGGAAUGUCUGUGGCACGAUUUGAUUUUUCAUGGGGAGAUGCUGAGUUUCAUCAAAAGACGUUGGAAAAUCUGAAGAUCGCAAUCAAGAGUACCAAGAAACUCUGUGCAGUUAUGCUAGAUACAGUUGGUCCUGAGUUGCAGGUAGUGAAUAAAUCUGAGCGCCCCGUAUCUCUUCAGGAAGAGACCCUGGUUGUCCUAACACCUGAUCAAGACAAAGAGGCCACUUCAAAUCUAUUACCCAUAAAUUUUAGUGGGCUCUCAAAGGUAGUGAAGAAGGGAGAUACUAUUUUUAUUGGUCAAUACCUCUUUACAGGAAGUGAAACUACUUCCGUGUGGCUGGAGGUCACCGAGGUGAAUGGUGAAGAGGUGGUUUGUCUCAUAAAGAAUUCUGCUACCUUGUCAGGGCCAUUGUAUACUUUGCAUGUCUCUCAGAUUCGUAUUGAUCUGCCUACACUUACAGAUAAAGAUAAGGAGGUCAUAAGCACUUGGGGCAUUCGUAACAACAUUGACUUCCUCUCAUUGUCAUAUACCCGUCAUGCUGAAGAUGUUCGCCACGCCCGCGAAUUUCUUUCAAAGUUAGGUGACCUGAAUCAAACUCAAAUUUUUGCAAAAAUUGAAAAUGUAGAGGGAUUAAAUCAUUUUGAUGAAAUCCUACAAGAAGCUGAUGGUAUUAUCCUCUCUCGUGGAAAUUUGGGGAUAGAUCUCCCACCAGAGAAGGUAUUUUUAUUUCAAAAGGCUGCUGUUUACAAGUGCAAUAUGGCUGGAAAGCCAGCAGUGGUGACUCGGGUUGUGGAUAGUAUGACAGACAACCUAAGACCUACUCGUGCUGAAGCAACUGAUGUUGCCAAUGCCAUACUGGAUGGUAAAUUUUUGUCUUUUGACAUUAAAUAUGUUUUUUUUUUAAAUAUAAAAACUUUUAGUGGAUGUCAGCCUGAAUUUUAAUUAUUUUUAUCAAAAUGCUGUAUGCAGGCUGAGAAAGUUUUCAAUCAAGAUCUGUACUUUAAGAGGGCUGUCAAAUAUGUUGGAGAACCAAUGACCCACUUGGAAUCCAUUGCUUCCUCUGCGGUACGGGCAGCCAUCAAGGUGAAGGCCUCUGUAAUUAUUUGCUUCACUUCAUCUGGACGAGCUGCAAGGUUGAUCGCAAAGUACAGACCAACAAUGCCUGUGCUUUCUGUUGUAAUUCCUCGGGUCAAGACAAAUCAACUCCGAUGGAAAUUUUCUGGUGCUUUUGAGGCAAGGCAAUCACUCAUUGUUAGAGGCCUUUUUCCCAUGCUAGCAGAUCCUCGACAUCCAGCUGAAUCUACUGGUGCAACAAAUGAAUCAAUUUUGAAGGUCGCUUUGGAUUAUGGUAAAUCCUCUGGUGUCAUAAAGUCACAUGACCGUCUUGUGAUUUGCCAGAAAAUCGGCGAUGCUUCUGUGGUGAAGAUCAUUGAGCUUGAAGAUUGAUGUCAACAUUGCAACAUAUUUCUGAGUAUGUUUUACAAGUUUUUCUUGUAAAUUCUCCAUGGCCUGCCACCCCUCUUUUCCAAAAAUAAGCAAAGAUGCAUAACGGAGUUUCCUUGUAGUUAAAUUACUGUAAACUUUUGCUCCUUUGUCUUUCCAAAAAUAACAGUUCUCAAAACACGAAUAUUAUAAUAUGUAAAAUAUUUUAUUAAAUCUGACGUUAGUCACAUUUCAAGGCAGAGGAUCAAAUUAAGCUUUAUCAUUUUACGAACAA